CUUGGAUGGGGGGGCCCUCAGCCCAGAUUGUGAGAGGGUGCAGGCCAGGCCGAGGGACCCCACCAGUGCAUG
This 72-nucleotide microRNA precursor is filed under the name Myotis davidii. RNAcentral describes it as "mir-9193 microRNA precursor family". It matches the Rfam family "mir-9193 microRNA precursor family". Lineage: Eukaryota; Metazoa; Chordata; Mammalia; Chiroptera; Vespertilionidae. The record is from Rfam by way of RNAcentral.